This 563-nucleotide ribosomal RNA is filed under the name biocide-degrading bacterium F2. RNAcentral describes it as "bacterial SSU rRNA". It matches the Rfam family "Bacterial small subunit ribosomal RNA", at positions 60 to 618 of the family's 1533-position model. The record is from RNAcentral.
AGUCGAGCGGAUGAAGGGAGCUUGCUCCCGGAUUCAGCGGCGGACGGGUGAGUAAUGCCUAGGAAUCUGCCUGGUAGUGGGGGACAACGUUCCGAAAGGAGCGCUAAUACCGCAUACGUCCUACGGGAGAAAGUGGGGGAUCUUCGGACCUCACGCUAUCAGAUGAGCCUAGGUCGGAUUAGCUAGUAGGUGGGGUAAUGGCUCACCUAGGCGACGAUCCGUAACUGGUCUGAGAGGAUGAUCAGUCACACUGGAACUGAGACACGGUCCAGACUCCUACGGGAGGCAGCAGUGGGGAAUAUUGGACAAUGGGCGAAAGCCUGAUCCAGCCAUGCCGCGUGUGUGAAGAAGGUCUUCGGAUUGUAAAGCACUUUAAGUUGGGAGGAAGGGCAGUAAGUUAAUACCUUGCUGUUUUGACGUUACCAACAGAAUAAGCACCGGCUAACUUCGUGCCAGCAGCCGCGGUAAUACGAAGGGUGCAAGCGUUAAUCGGAAUUACUGGGCGUAAAGCGCGCGUAGGUGGUUUGGUAAGAUGGAUGUGAAAUCCCCGGGCUCAACCUGGG